RNAcentral lists this ribosomal RNA (327 nucleotides) under uncultured eukaryote. Its description in RNAcentral is "partial 18S ribosomal RNA". It matches the Rfam family "Eukaryotic small subunit ribosomal RNA", at positions 1470 to 1796 of the family's 1831-position model. The record is from RNAcentral.
CCCUUAGAUGUUCUGGGCCGCACGCGCGCUACACUGACCGGUGCAACAAGCAUCCGUCCUUGGCCGACAGGCCCGGGCAAUCUUUGAACGCCGGUCGUGAUGGGGAUAGACUUUUGCAAUUUUUGGUCUUCAACGAGGAAUUCCUAGUAAACGCAAGUCAUCAACUUGCAUUGAUUACGUCCCUGCCCUUUGUACACACCGCCCGUCGCACCUACCGAUUGGAUGGUCCGGUGAAGCCUCGGGAUUGUGGUUCUUGCCGCUUUAUUGUGGCGUGACCGCGAGAACUUGUCUAAACCUUAUCAUCUAGAGGAAGGUGAAGUCGUAACA